AUUGAACGCUGGCGGCAGGCCUAACACAUGCAAGUCGAACGGUAACAGGAAGAAGCUUGCUUCUUUGCUGACGAGUGGCGGACGGGUGAGUAAUGUCUGGGAAACUGCCUGAUGGAGGGGGAUAACUACUGGAAACGGUAGCUAAUACCGCAUAACGUCGCAAGACCAAAGAGGGGGACCUUCGGGCCUCUUGCCAGCGGAUGUGCCCCUACCGGAUUAGCUAGUAGGUGGGGUAACGGCUCACCUAGGCGACGAUCCCUAGCUGGUCUGAGAGGAUGACCAGCCACACUGGAACUGAGACACGGUCCAGACGCCUACGAGAGGCAGCAGUGGGGAAUAUUGCACAAUGGGCGCAAGCCUGAUGCAGCCAUGCCGCGUGUAUGAAGAAGCAGGGCGGGUUGUAAAGUACUUUCAGCGGGGAGGAAGGGAGUAAAGUUAAUACCUUUGCUACUUGACGUUACCCGCAGAAGAAGCACCGGCUAACUCCGUG
This 490-nucleotide ribosomal RNA is filed under the name uncultured bacterium. RNAcentral describes it as "partial 16S ribosomal RNA". It matches the Rfam family "Bacterial small subunit ribosomal RNA", at positions 30 to 507 of the family's 1533-position model. The record is from RNAcentral.